Hordeum vulgare subsp. vulgare (domesticated barley) is the source of this 123-nucleotide non-coding RNA. Lineage: Eukaryota; Viridiplantae; Streptophyta; Magnoliopsida; Poales; Poaceae. The record is from Rfam.
AAUAUAUUCCUCCGUCCAGAAAUACUUGUCCUAAAAAUGCAUAUAAUGGAUGUAUCUAUAACUAAAAUAAGUCUAGAUUCAUCCAUUUCUAGGACAAAUAUUUCCGGACGGAGGGAGUAGUUC